GCCAGUGUGGCAUAGUGGUUGAAGUGUUGGACUUGUCUCUGGAGACCAGGGUUCAAUUCCCAGCUCAGCCA
This is a non-coding RNA of Phrynosoma platyrhinos (Desert horned lizard), 71 nucleotides long. Lineage: Eukaryota; Metazoa; Chordata; Lepidosauria; Squamata; Phrynosomatidae. The record is from the annotation of a GenBank genome assembly.